This 428-nucleotide long non-coding RNA is filed under the name Helianthus annuus (common sunflower). Its description in RNAcentral is "hypothetical non coding rna". Lineage: Eukaryota; Viridiplantae; Streptophyta; Magnoliopsida; Asterales; Asteraceae. The record is from RNAcentral.
GAUAGGAGGGUGACAUUUCAGAAUCCCGAUCUGCUGUUGAAAGACGCAAGGAAGCAGGUGCCCACUUGGGUUGGUUGUUUCCUCUGUCGCUUUCAAGGCAGCGCCCACUUCCAAUUUCAUCAGCAAGCAAUUGCAUUUUAGGUCUGGAAAUUCAACCAAGACCCAAGAAAGGCUCCAGGCGACUCAUGCGGCUACAAAUGAUUCAUGAAGCUAAGCCUCAAUGAAGAUUCAAGCUUCUGAUCUGGAAUGACAACACAAGAAGAUUUCAAAUUUCAACAUUGAAAAAUGAAAUUUGGUACACGAAUAAAAAUGUAUUGAAAUAUUGUUUGGGGAAUUUUCGGGAUUGCUUUUCAUAUCACGGUUCAACCAUGGUGUGUAGAAGGAUGUCACCUUUCUUAUCAUAAAGCUUGAUGUUUGAGGGUGAUUAU